This 348-nucleotide unclassified non-coding RNA is filed under the name soil metagenome. RNAcentral's name for it is "partial contains 5.8S ribosomal RNA, internal transcribed spacer 2, and large subunit ribosomal RNA". The stretch from base 2 to 120 matches the Rfam family "5.8S ribosomal RNA", at positions 36 to 154 of the family's 154-position model. The record is from RNAcentral.
AAUGAAGAACGCAGCGAAAUGCGAUAAUUAAUGUGAAUUGCAGAAUUCAGUGAAUCAUCGAGUCUUUGAACGCACAUUGCGCCCCCUGGUAUUCCGGGGGGCAUGCCUGUCCGAGCGUCAUUGCUGCCCUCAAGCCCGACUUGUGUGUUGGGCCUCGUCCCCCCUCCGCGGGGGACGGGCCCGAAAGGCAGCGGCGGCACCGUGUCCGGUCCUCGAGCGUAUGGGGCUUUGUCACCCGCUCUGUAGGCCCGGCCGGCGCCUUAGCCGACGACACAAUCUUUUUUUUCAGGUUGACCUCGGAUCAGGUAGGGAUACCCGCUGAACUUAAGCAUAUCAAUAAGCGGAGGA